AUAUGCAAAACCUAACUCAGUAGUAAUAUAAUUCUCUUACAGAGCUGCCAUUUCCAUGCUAGGUAUCCAUUCCGUCAAUUUCGACCAGAACAAUGAGAACCGAGUUACAGUUUACAAAAUGCGAUCAGCUAAACUUUACCUGUGAACCAGAUGGUGGCUGAUUAAUUGCCAUGCCUGAAGCAAGUAUACUUUACUACUGCCCACACAACCUGAGAAAAAAAAAACGAAAACAUGAAAAUCUAGCAAAUAGAAAUACAUACAUACAAUAUAAAUUAAAUCCGAAAAUCGCACUUAAUUGAGAAGGAAACGGAGUUCCACAGAAACAAAUCCUCCUCGGGCAGAAUCGAUUUUCAGAGGUUUAGAACAAAAGGUGAGAGAUAUGAACCCUAGAAGGAAGAGGACUGACUCGGAUGUCUCGAAUCCGGGUCGACAAAAUUGGGUGUGAAUAGGGGUGGAAAUCGGACGGAUCGGAUCGGAUUUGGGUGUUUCGGAAAAUUUCCGAUUUUUUUCGGAAGUCCAAAACGACUUCCGAUUCCGAUUCCGAUUUUUUCGGAAUUCAAAAAGUGAUUCCGAUUCCGAUUUUUUCGGAAUUUUCGGAAAAUCGGAAUUUUUCGGAAAUCUUCAUUUUCGGAAUUUUCGGAAAUUUUUCGGAAUUUUCCCCAAAAAAAAAAAACUAAAAAAAAAAUGAGCACCGACACAGUAGCAAAACAGAACAUACUCACACAAAAACACACAACAGACACCAAAAAUUAAAUUAAAUCAAUUGAAUGAAGAUUAAAUUUGAAUCAAUUAAAUUAGAUUUAUUCUAAAAAUACCCGAUAGAGAGAGCGGCUUUGCUGGUGGUCGUCGGAGAGCCGGGAGGCGCUGGUGGUGGUGGUCUUCGGAGAGCCGGGAGGCCUGGUUGCGAUGGUGGUGGUUGGAGAAUCGGGAGGCGCAAGUGGUGGUGGUCGUCGGAGAAUUGGGAGCCGCUGCUGCUGGUGGUGGUCGUCGGAGAGCCGAGAUGCGCUAGUGGUGGUGGUCGUCGGAGAACCGGGAGGCAGUGGUGGUGGUGGUGAUCGUCGGAGAAGGCGCUGGUGGUGGUGGGGGAGAAAGAAAGGUCGGAUUGCAGAGAGAGAGUCGGGAAAUUAGGCUGCGAAGUAAUUUUAAUAAAUUUUGAGUUUUUGACUUUUGUAUGUUUUAGAAAAUUAAAAAAUAAUAAUAUGUUCAAAUAUAAAUAUAUAUAUAUAUAUAUAUAUAUAUAUAUAUAUAUAUAUAUAUAUAUAUAUAUAUAUACUAGUGUUGGGAGCACCGCGCAAAGCGCGGUGUUGGUGCCCAUUCAAUGUAGUCCAAAAUUACAGGGUUAUUUUGCUAUAAUUCUAUUCGCAUGAAGCUAAAUACAAAAUUUGUCGCAACCUGUUUCAACCAUCACAUGUAAAAUAUGACCUUAAACUAACAUAUUUGAAAUAUUACAUGCCAUUGUAUGCAGAGAAAUCCCUUGAUUUAGUCGAAGAAGUUGAUAGAUCAUAAUAGAGAUCAGUAACCCUUCUAAUAUUGUUGUUGGACUCUCUAAUCCUGGACUCGUGAUCCACUUUAUGCAAUGUUAUAGGCAUUAGUGAAGGUUUGGUUGUCCAAUUACUACGUUUUCAAUCAAACCAAGAGUACAAGUAUUCGACGAAUUAUUAUAGUGUUUUCCACGUUUGGACAACAGCUUAUACUUCAUGCCGUUGGCAAUUACAACUAAAAAUCAUAAAUUUAAGAGUCAAAAGAACCAGCCUAUCUGUGGCAAUAUUACCGACCAAGAAACUCAAAAGAAUAAACCAAUAACUCCCACAGUGCAUAGACCAACCAAAACAAAGAAAUAAAAGAAGAAAAUAAAUGAAAACUUUUUUCGAUCUUGCAUGAAAGACUAAAAUAACAGUUUCAGCACAAAAUUAUAUUGUGUGAUUCUUUACCUGAUUUUGUUGGACGAAUCAGUAAUGUCAAUCCUUCAUUGUUAACAGAAUGACUUAAGUUAUUUGCUUUCCAGUUUAUUUCGUCAUCCUCAAUUCAAUCCCAGCUACGGCGAAUAUUAAAGGAUUCAGUAAGAUGGCAAAACAAAACGAUCAACAAAGUUCACCGGAAACUAAUCUAAUACAUAAAGAGAAAUUGAACAUCAAGAAUCAAUCAAACAAUUAAGGAUCCGUUGCUGGUUGUUACAGCUACAGAGAGCCUAAAAACCAGGACAAAAAUCCCAAAAGAGAACCAAUUUUUAAAAAAAGUUCAAUUUAUGAACAAAAAUUGAAAAAAAAAUUAGAAAAGAAAUAAUAUACCUGUUAUUGAUGCUUAAUUCAGUGAAUACCUUGAAGAAAGCUUCAAACGUUUUGCAAUCUGAUAUACAAGAAAUAGCAAAACAACAAGGAAAUAAUGUAUUUAAAACAGGAACUAAAAAAUAAAUAGAAAAUGAAGCAUAGAAAAUAGCAAUUAAAUGACACAAAUAUGAACUGAAUUAGGCUCUCCAAUUUUGACCGUAUUGUUUCAUCAUGUGAAAUAGAAUUUCAACAACCUCGAUCUCAACAUUAUGCUGAAUCACUAAUCGGAAAUUUGUGAGAUAUGCUACAAGUAGUAAUAAACUCUCCAUUAGCAAUGAGCUGUGUAUAUUGAUGAAAAUUAAAAAGUAGAAAUGAGAGAAACAAAACCAUGUAAAUAUCUUUAGGGCCACCUCUGUAAGCACAAGGAGAACACAUCGCUGGUAAACAAAACCAUGUAAACAAAAGUCGCCGGUGAGUUUCUUAAAACCAACCCAUGCAAUCUCUACUUUCGCCGAACAUCAAAUUCUCUUCCAUUCAACUUGCUGGAUAAAACCAAAAAGUAGAUAAAUGGAGGCUUGUUGGAUGAAACCAAUAAAGAAAAUAGGUCAUAGUACAAAUAUAUAUGUCUAUAUUCUAUUAGGCACCAAAAACUUAUGAUUCACAGAAGGUACCGCAAAACUUAAAACCACACAAUGGAUGUGUAAAAUUAAAAGGAAGUUGAUAAUUAAUUGUAUAUAACAAACAAAGCAUAAUUAAUUGUUAAAUGCCAAAUCACCAAGGAACCAAGAAAUUGAAGACAAAAAUAGAACACACCCACAUGCAGCGAAUAAAACAAAAGCAGAGGCAAGCAAUAUAAUUAAUACGAAGGAAAAUGAAAUUAGUUGACCUGGGUGCUACAUAGAGGUUGUCGUUCGUGUAGGCGGCGGCGUUUAUGCUCGCCGACGCUGGAAGCGGCGAGGCCCUCUCGAUUGCCUUUGGUGGUCGGCUAUAGCUUUUGAGAGAGGAGGCGCCGGAGAUAGGAGGCGCCGGAGAUAGAGGUGAAAGAAUUGAAAAAGAAAGAAAAGCGAAAAGAAAUUAAGGAAACGGGGCCACACGGAGGAAUUUUGGAAUCGACCUGCUUCAAGAAUUAAACAAAAAGAAAACAACGGCCGCUGUGGAUUGGAGGAAAAGAAAACAACGGCGCCGUUUUGAUAUUAAACGGGCUGGAAGAAAACGAGAAAGAAAAUAGAAAAUGGGGAAAAUGUGGGCCCCCACCUCCCAAGACAUAUAUAUAUAAGGGAGGUGAUAUUCGCGGUAGCAAAAUUACGAAUGUCGUUUUAAAAAAUCCACUCUCUAUCUUUCUUUCUCUCUCUACAAUUUUAGCUUUUAUAUUAGAAAUCAUUCCAAAACUCAUGUUAUUGUAGCCAUUUGCAAAAAAAAAUGAGUCCAUCGAAUGAGGAUCGAGAUACGGAAUCCAAUGAGAUAAAAUUUGUUCGUUUUUGUUCUUUAAAUCGCGAAAACGCGACCCACGACCAAUUUGGACGCCGAAAAAUACGUUUCACGCCCAAACUGGGCGCAAAAAAACUCGAUUCACGCCCGGUUUGGGCGCGCGACACAGCUUUCCGCGCCCGGUUUGGGUGCGAGUGCUGACUGUGUUUUAAUAAAAAAAAACAAAAUUGUGUUGCAACAAGGAAUCGAACCCGGGUUGUUGCAAUACAAAUGCCUGCUUGCUUAACCAAGUCGGCUACUGCCAUUUUGAUAAAUGAAAAUUCUUAUUCAAAUAUAAUUAUUUAUUUCAUUAUACUGGGCAAAAAAUUAAUAAAUACGCGUUACUACAAAGACUCGAACACGGGCCUAUUGUUUGUUAGACAAAAGACCUAACCAACUAGGCUACAGCAUGUUUAUGAAGCAGUACUUAUUUAAAUAUAAUUAUUCAUUUCAGGUAUACUGGGCAAAAAAAAAAAAUUGAACCGGACGACCGGUCCAGAACCAACGUCUGGACCGGACGCCCGAAUUAAUUUUCCACGCCCAAAAUGGGCGUGAGAAAGUUGUUUCCACGCCUAAAUCAGGCGUGGAAACUGCUUUUCCACACCCAUUUUGUGCGUGAAAAAAUCGAAAACCCAACACUAAAAAUAGCCAUAAAUCGCGAUUUUCAGGGGAUUUUCACAUGAUUAACCACAAAUUCAAUAUAUAUAACUAUUUUAGAUGAUUAAUUACCUUUCAAAUUGACGAAAUUUUCUGAUUUUGGAGGAUUUGUGAGAGAGGUUGAGGGUUUUUGUGAAUUUUGGGACUUUUGGGGAUUUUGGGGUUUGGGUGGAAUUGAGGAUUUUUAGAGAGAGAAAGAAAAGACUGUUGUGAACGACAUUCGUAAUUUUGCUGCCGCGUAAAUCAUUUCAGUAUAUAUAAUGAUACUCCCAAGACAUAUAUAUAUAUAUAAUGAUAUAUAUAUAUAUAUAUAUAUAUAUAUAUAUAUAUAUAUAUAAUAAUUGGAAAAAAAAUAUUAGUAAUUAGUACAGGCGGAUAGAUAUAUACAUAUAUUAUAUAUAGUAAGAAAUAUUAAUAAUAUUAUAAUUGGAAAAAUCGGAAUAAAUCGGAAUAAUUUCGGAUCGGAAAUCGGAAAUUCCGAAAUUCUGUUAUGUAUUUCCGAUUCCGAUCCGAUUAUUUUCGGAAUUUUUGGAAAUCGGAAUUUCGGAAUUUGGAAUUGAAAAAGUCGUUCCAAAAUCGGAAUAUUUCGGAUCGGAUUCGGCGGAAAUCGGAAUUUUCGUUCCAAUUUUCACCCCUAGGUGUGAUAGUAAAUAGGCUUAGAAUUAGAUAAUUGACCGGCCCAUUAAAUACAGGCCCAUUAGUGCAGCCCAGUUUGUUUACCCUCGGUGGGCUACGGUUUACUUCAUUCGCAACCUUCCUCUCCUCUACAGCGCUUCGCCGUGCACGAUCAAACACAGUAUGCACUCUCUCUCUCUCUCUACUCUCUCUCUCUCCAUCCAAUUGAUGAAAACAUUAUUUAUUUGUUUGUUUUCUCUUCGAUUUGAUGAUUAUAUCGAGAUUGGAUUUGAUGAAGAAAAGAGAGGUGGUUGGCGGUGAUUAUAAAAGUAAUUCCUCGUUC
RNAcentral lists this long non-coding RNA (5349 nucleotides) under Erythranthe guttata (spotted monkey flower). RNAcentral's name for it is "long non-coding RNA (EGUT_LNC001387)". The record is from RNAcentral. Lineage: Eukaryota; Viridiplantae; Streptophyta; Magnoliopsida; Lamiales; Phrymaceae.